Molecule: ribosomal RNA, 460 nt
Filed under: uncultured bacterium
Lineage: Bacteria
Description: partial 16S ribosomal RNA
Rfam family: Bacterial small subunit ribosomal RNA
Source: RNAcentral
CCUACGGGUGGCAGCAGUGGGGAAUAUUGGUCAAUGGGCGCGAGCCUGACCCAGCCAAGUAGCGUGAAGGAUGACUGCCCUACGGGUUGUAAACUUCUUUUAUAAAGGAAUAAAGUGAGGCGCGUGUGCCUUUUUGUAUGUACUUUAUGAAUAAGGAACGGCUAACUCCGUGCCAGCAGCCGCGGUAAUACGGAGGAUUCGAGCGUUAUCCGGAUUUAUUGGGUUUAAAGGGAGCGUAGAUGGGUUGUUAAGUCAGUUGUGAAAGCUUGCGGCUCAACCGUAAAAUUGCAAUUGAUACUGGCAGUCUUGAGGACAGUAGAGGUAGGCGGAAUUCGUGGUGUAGCGGUGAAAUGCGUAGAUAUCACGAAGAACUCCGAUUGCGAAGGCAGCCUACUAAACUGCCACUGACAGUGAGGCGCGAAAGUGUGGGUAGCAAACAGGAUUAGAUACCCUUGUAGUC